Small nuclear RNA from Dipodomys ordii (Ord's kangaroo rat), 109 nucleotides. The record is from Ensembl. Lineage: Eukaryota; Metazoa; Chordata; Mammalia; Rodentia; Heteromyidae.
GUGCUCACUUUGGCAGCACAUAUGCUAAAAUUGGAACAAUACAUAGAAGAUUAGCAUGGCCCCUGCGCAAGGAUGACAAAGACCCAAUCUCUUAAUACUAUCACCUUUG